UUAACAAUUUAGGAUAGAGGAUAAUUGAUGAGAAGUGUGUUAACUUAAAUGAAGUAAUAAAUGAAGUUGUGAUCUUAAAUCUCUGUAAUCUUAAUUUAACUAGUGGUAAUUAGAAUUAGUUUAAUUAUAAAUUGAAAUUCAUUCGUUUAAAUAAGAUUGAGUUGAUUACGAGUUAGUACUUGGUGAUUUUUAUUAAAUAAUUCUCUAUGGGAACGAUACUCAACUUAUCACUUUAUUACUUGUU
This 244-nucleotide long non-coding RNA is filed under the name Panax ginseng (ginseng). RNAcentral's name for it is "long non-coding RNA (PGIN_LNC003390)". The record is from RNAcentral. Lineage: Eukaryota; Viridiplantae; Streptophyta; Magnoliopsida; Apiales; Araliaceae.